GGAGGAUGAUUGAGCACUUUUUUUAGAAAGACUUGCAUUAAUGAUUCUAAUUUAGACUAUGUAGGAGUAGGAUUAAUAAGUAGAUUUUUUUUUAGUUCUACUGCAUUUGGAUUUGAUUUUUCUUUUUAGGAACCCAACAUGAAGUAGACACAAACAAUUCAAACUUUAUACGAGCAAAGGAAGAAUGACCCACCAAUAG
RNAcentral lists this long non-coding RNA (199 nucleotides) under Gossypium raimondii (Peruvian cotton). RNAcentral's name for it is "long non-coding RNA (GRAI_LNC002165)". Lineage: Eukaryota; Viridiplantae; Streptophyta; Magnoliopsida; Malvales; Malvaceae. The record is from RNAcentral.